Molecule: ribosomal RNA, 493 nt
Filed under: uncultured bacterium
Lineage: Bacteria
Description: bacterial SSU rRNA
Rfam family: Bacterial small subunit ribosomal RNA
Source: RNAcentral
GAUGAACGCUAGCGGCAGGCUUAACACAUGCAAGUCGAGGGGCAGCACGUCUUCGGAUGGUGGCGACCGGCGCACGGGUGCGUAACGCGUAUACAACCUACCUUAUAGAGGGGAAUAGCCCAGAGAAAUUUGGAUUAAUGCCCCAUAGUAUUAUUGAAUAGCAUUAUUUGAUGAUUAAACAUUUAUGGCUAUAAGAUGGGUAUGCGUUCUAUUAGCUAGAUGGUAAGGUAACGGCUUACCAUGGCGACGAUAGAUAGGGGUCCUGAGAGGGAGAUCCCCCACACUGGUACUGAGACACGGACCAGACUCCUACGGGAGGCAGCAGUGAGGAAUAUUGGACAAUGGGCGAGAGCCUGAUCCAGCCAUGCCGCGUGCAGGAAGACGGCCCUAUGGGUUGUAAACUGCUUUUUAUACGGGAAGAAACACUCCUUCGUGAAGGAGCUUGACGGUACCGUAAGAAUAAGGAUCGGCUAACUCCGUGCCAGCAGCCGAC